AUGGAGGACGCGGCGGCGGCGGCCGUCCCCGGAGCGCACGCGUCGGCGAGCCGCCGAUCCGACGACCGGCAGGUGCCGCUGUGGAGUCCCGGCCCCCGGGAGCAGCAGAGAAGCCCCGACGAUCUCAUCAGCCACCUCCCCGACGACGUCCUCGGCGCCGUCGUCUCGCUCCUCCCCACCAAGGACGGCGCGCGCACGCAGGUCCUCUCGCGCCGGUGGCGCCCCCUCUGGCGCUCGUCCGCGGCGCCGCUCAACCUGUCGAUCGACCGCCGCUUCUGCGCGGGCGACGCCCGCAAGCACGCCGCCGUCGUCUCCCGGAUCCUCUCCGACCACCCCGGCCCCGCCCGCCAGUUCUCGCUCCGCCAGGCCUUCCCGCCGGGCCAGAUCGACCGCUGGCUCCGCGCCGGAUCGCUCGCCCGCCUGCAGGAGCUCGAAAUCGCCUACACCAAGGUGCACGGGGACGUAUGCCACCCGAUGCCGCCGUCCGCGCUCUGCUUUGCGCCGACGCUCCGCGCGGCCAAGUUCGGCAGCUGUGAGUUCCCCGAGCUGACCGCGCCGUCGCCGAAAUUUCCGCGCCUCAAGCAGCUCACCCUGUGCCGCGUCAGCAUCUCGGAGGACUCUCUCCACGGCAUGCUCUCUGGCUGCAUUGCCUUGGAAAGCCUUUCGCUGGACCGGAACAUCGGCAUCGGUCGCCUCUGCAUCAGCUCACCGACGGUUAGGCGCUUCAGCUUCUCGCCUCAUCGGGACAAACAAGGUAUCGUCACUUGCCAAGAGCUGCUCGUCCAGGACGUCCCACGCCUUGAGAGGUUAAUACUACAUGAUUCACACAUUGGUCCGGCGACCAUCCGGAUAACCGGGGCACCUAAACUGGAGCUGUUGGGGUUGUUGUCUCAUGGCAUAUCUACACUCAAGCCUGGAACCACAGUUCUCCAGAAAACGAUUGAUGUCAGCUUGACAACCAUAAUGCAUAAAGUGAAGAUUUUGGUUGUUGACUCUAUUGGUCCCAAUCUAGAUGCAAUUGUUGGCCUACUCAAGUGCUUCACUUUCUUAGAGAGGCUAUAUGUCAUUUCGCACCCACAGGAGGAUAUGAAUAAUGUGCGCAAGUAUGACCCACUGGAUCCAAUUGAAUGCCUAGAACUCCAUCUAAAAAAAGUGGUAUUGAAGAAUUACGAUGGUAACCGGACGCAAGUUAUUCACUUUGCCCAGUUCUUUGUUUUGAAUGCAAAAGUGCUUAAGGAAAUGGAAAUUGGAGUUGUCAACCGCUGCAACAGCAAAUGGAUGCGUUUUCAGCGUAAACGGUUGCAAGUGCAGAAUAGAGCUUCUCGAGAUGCACAGAUUGAACUAAAAUGGGAUACAAAGAAGAGCUUCAAAUACCAUGGUUUUUCCGAGGCUGAUCCCUUUGACAUGUCCUCAUGUUGA
Molecule: ribosomal RNA, 1419 nt
Filed under: Triticum aestivum (bread wheat)
Lineage: Eukaryota; Viridiplantae; Streptophyta; Magnoliopsida; Poales; Poaceae
Description: partial small subunit ribosomal RNA
Source: RNAcentral